RNAcentral lists this transfer RNA (72 nucleotides) under Muntiacus reevesi (Reeves' muntjac). It matches the Rfam family "tRNA". From Rfam's summary of the family: Transfer RNA (tRNA) molecules are approximately 80 nucleotides in length. Their secondary structure includes four short double-helical elements and three loops (D, anti-codon, and T loops). RNAcentral also lists the same sequence under 1 other name. The record is from Rfam by way of RNAcentral. Lineage: Eukaryota; Metazoa; Chordata; Mammalia; Artiodactyla; Cervidae.
UCCCUGGUAGCUCAGACGGUAAAGCGUCUGCCUGCAAUGCGGGAGACCUGGGUUUGAUCCCUGGGUCGGGAA